AAACGGGGAGCAAUAAGCUGAGAAUGAGUGCACCGCAUUCUAAACCCGCUGAACCUGAUACGGAUAAUGCCGGCGCAGGGAGAAUAAAAGCUU
RNAcentral lists this non-coding RNA (93 nucleotides) under human gut metagenome. The record is from RNAcentral.